Sycon ciliatum is the source of this 379-nucleotide long non-coding RNA. RefSeq lists it as uncharacterized. The record is from RefSeq and is a predicted model, not a curated record. Lineage: Eukaryota; Metazoa; Porifera; Calcarea; Leucosolenida; Sycettidae. The transcript has 6 exons.
CCAGUAUUUUGUUGAUGGUCCUGGAAAAGACAAUGGAAUUACAUCAAUGUACUUACAUUUUGACAUUACCAGGUACCGCAAAAUGACAUCACUAAGGGUGUUACCAUGUGCUUGGAGACUCGCAUCUACAUGAGAAAUUGCUUGGCCUGACGUACAGAAUAUCGGCUGAUGCCUUCUUCCAAGUAAACACCCUUGGCACUGAACGUCUGUACGCAUCAAUCUGUGACUGGUGUGAUGUCAACGAGGACUCUAUUGUCUUGGACAUAUGCCGUGGUACUGGUACGAUUGCCUUGGCACUGGCAAAGAGAGUGAAGAAAGUGAUUGGCGUGGAGAUGUGCGAACAAGCCGUGGCGGAUGCCAAGCAUAAUGCAGGACUGAA